Molecule: long non-coding RNA, 236 nt
Filed under: Medicago truncatula (barrel medic)
Lineage: Eukaryota; Viridiplantae; Streptophyta; Magnoliopsida; Fabales; Fabaceae
Description: long non-coding RNA (MTRU_LNC000535)
Source: RNAcentral
GACUUUUGAGUUGAUCCUUAGAUGUUUUUGAGUGCCUGAACAUGUCUAAUAAUGAUUAGGAAAGAAUGUAGAAUGAGAUUGAACCUGGAAAGAUUUUAGAAUGAAACUUUGGGAAUCUGACCUGAACUCGCCAUGGCGAGCAGAGGCUCUCGCCUCGCGAGUGACCCAGUUACAGAAUGCUUGUUUAGAAUUUUGCGAUCUUUGUCGCACGAGUCGUUGAGAGUUAAACCUUGGGG